This 114-nucleotide ribosomal RNA is filed under the name Pteropus alecto (black flying fox). The record is from RNAcentral. Lineage: Eukaryota; Metazoa; Chordata; Mammalia; Chiroptera; Pteropodidae.
GUCUAUGACCAUGCCACCCUGAAAAUGCCCGAUCUCAUCUGAUCUCGGAAGCUAAGCAGGGUUGGGCCUGGUUAGUAAGCGUUAAAAAAAAAAAAAAAAGGCAUGUUUUAGCCA